RNAcentral lists this long non-coding RNA (5493 nucleotides) under Brassica napus (rape). Its description in RNAcentral is "long non-coding RNA (BNAP_LNC001001)". The record is from RNAcentral. Lineage: Eukaryota; Viridiplantae; Streptophyta; Magnoliopsida; Brassicales; Brassicaceae.
UAUUAUAUGAAUGUUUUAGACAACGAAAUUAAGCACCGGUGAAGCUUGGUGGCUUGUAGGCGAUGAAACUGAUGCACUGGACUUGACGGUUGUUGUCGAAUCCGAUGAUUCUAAUGAAAGCGUUAGGGUAUUCCGUCUUGCACUCUUGCACUUCCUUCAACACUUGAGCAGAGUCAGUGCAUCCGAACAAAGGAAGUUUCCACAUUGUCCAGUAACGUCCGUCGUAGUAUCCGGGUGUGUUUCCGUGUUCACGGUAUACAAAUCCAUGCUAUACACACAUGAAAAUAUAAUUCAAAUUUAGAAUUUAUCUUUUGUAAUAAAGGAUAUUGAAAGCUUUUAUUUUUAUUACUUCCAAUUCGAAUUCAACACAAGGAAUCCACUUGUUGCGAAGAAGAUAGUCAACUUCCUUAGACAAUUCGACGUCAGUAAGAUCAGGAAGGUAAGAGAGAGUCUCAAACUUCUUCUUCCCGACUGGUGGCCACACCUAUAAAUCGCAUUUCCAAUUAAUAAAUAUUAGUUACAUUUUAUACAUACUGAUUACACACAUCUUACCAACUCAAGCUACGUUACAUAGCUAUUGUUUAAUUGGAUUCAUGUUGGAAUGUACCAGUUUCAUAUCACAAAGAAAAACGGCCUACAAUGAAUUCGAGUGAUAUUUACCUUCAUGCAGUUAACUCUUCCUCCAUUGCUUGCGAUGGAAGUAAUGUCAGUGUUGGUCUUGCGAGUGACUGGGAAUGCAGCGGAUGACUUCAAGCCUGUGAAUGGAGCAACCAUGGCCGCUUGAGCCGGUGAGCUAACCACGGUGGCAGAGGAGAGCAUAGAGGAAGCCAUUACGUACUAGUUCUUCUCUUCUUCUUCUUCUUUUUCUCGAAAGCGUUUCUUCUCCAGAAAUUCAGCCGCUCGGAGCGUAAACAGGUAAAAACACUAGCUUUUAACCUAUGUCUCGCCAGUCAAUUGAUGGUCUCUGAAAGUCUGACACGUUUUUGGACUAAUGACAUUCUACGGCUGUUUUGUUCAUGGAACCUAAAUGGUUAUGUUGAACUGAAUCAUUUUAGAUUGAUGCGGGGAUGGAACAAGGUGUUGAUGCCGUGAAGACGCUCGUUGAAUAUGGAUUCAACGACGCAAUAUCUCGAUUCAAUUUGGGGCAGAAAUACAAGUUCCACACAAUCUGAUUAUCUUCACUUUAGCUUCGUCUUGGACCAUACAUGCCACAGUAAGCAUGUAACAACAUAGUCCAACAUUAUACUGUUAGUAUCAUUAGUCUUUUAUCUUAGAGGUAGGUUAUAUUGUAAACUGAAGAUCAUUUUCAAACUCUGAUCAAGAGGACCAACAAGCGGACAAGGAGGACCAAAAGUAGCUGAACAAUAUUGUAAACCGAAAAUUUUCAAUUGGGUUUGGUUAAGCAGAUAGAUUUGUCGGCUUAGAUAGCCAAUACAAAAGAACCUCGGCACCUUUCUCCCAUGAACAGUCAAGCAUCAUAUCAUGAGCAACACCUUCAAUACAAACCGGCUCAACCUCAUAAAACCUCCCGGUUUCCUUCAGUCCUUCGUCGUCCUGUAAAACCAUAACCCACUCCGGUUUAAUACACAUACCAAGAUUUUAAAACUUUCUGGUUCAGGUAGCAAAGAGGGGUGCGUUUUGUAGCUCGUACCACUAUGAAAUCAUCUUUGGCACCUAAAACCAGAACGUUUGUCCAAUUUUCCUUUGGUUUUGGUACCGGAAGUGAUGCGUUUAGCUUUUUGAGAUCAAACAACGGCAUCCUUGAACUCUCUUUCAUCAGAUCCUGGUAACUGAAUCGUAAUAACAGGACAAAGAACUCAAGAAGAUGAUUGAGAUUUUGCUUAAGAUCCAAGGGUACUUAUGAGUAUAUACCGCUGCACGAGGUGAUCAUCCAUGGCUGAAGAGAAGAAGGUUUCCCGACAAAGAGGAAUAGAUGUCUGAAAACGCUUAGCGGCUAAACUGAGAGUUACCUGCUCAAAAACACAACCAAGAGAACCAACAUUUUUUGUAACAAAACAGAACAUGGCACAUUAACCAACCCUUAAAAGAUGAAAGAGCGGAGAAAGAGUUUACCUUAAAGGCUGCUACGGGUUUAGAAAAGAGAUAGCGUAACACUAACCCGCUGAACAAGAAAGAUAGUCUUUAUAAGUUACAUAUAUGAGCUAAACAAAAAGAAUAAGAACCCUCUCUGAGGAGAGGUACCUAUUACCCGAAGGUGGCACCGAACAAACUAGUACAGCCCCUGAAAGGUCUGGAUAUGCAUUUGUAGCGUCUGUAACUGAAACCAGUUAUUGCGUAGGCCCCAUUUUAUUACAGCUGCUCCAAGAAAACAACAAGCAGUUUUAUGAAUUAGACUUACCUAACGGCUGUUUAUUUGAGAUAUUCGCCAAGUAAUAUUGAACAAUGAGCCCUCCAAAAGAAUGACCGAUAAGAACAGGAGGAAGCGAAGAGCUAAGGUUUGAUUCGAUGAAGUUCGCAAUAUCACUUGCGUGCGUCUAUUCCACAAACAAGUAAAAUAAAUUUACGAAUCUUGCACAUUUGUAAUGAAAAAUCAGAGUUUCAAGUACCUCAAGUGUUCCAGCAACAGUUCCCAAAGGCUCAUCACUUUCACCCUGAAGAACUCAAAGAUCACUUGGAAAAUUCUAAAAUUGAGAAUUGUAAAUGAGAAAGGAGUUUCUACCUGAGCUAAUAAGCUGAUGGCAUAAGAGUCAAACCCAGAAGAAGAGAAGAAAGGUAACCAAUGCUCAGCCCAGCACCAAGCUGCGUGGUAGCUUCCAUGUACAAAAACCAAUGGUGGGUUCUCUUUCUCUUUCUCGCUUCUUCUUUUUUCGUUUUUCUCUUUUCUCUGCUCGAUGACCUCCAUUUUUAGACCAGAGGGAAGCUUAUGGUAAAGACGGUUCUGCCCCUUCUUCAGCUCAUAUGUCGUGGAGGAUUUGCUGAGAGCUGCCAUUGGCUUGAAUUUCGCUUUGGGAGAGGAGAGGCAUGGGAAAGAGACAAGAGAAGAAGUAGCCAUUCUCGUCCGUGAAGCUCCAGCUUUCUCAGAGAAAGAGAGAGAGAGAGAGAGAGAGAGAGAGCUCUCAAGAACUAUCUCUUCACCGAACUUUUCUAUCUGAAAUUUUACUGUUUUACCCUCAUCGUUUUUUUUUAAAAUAUUUGCAGCCAACUGAAAACCAUGUCUAAAUAUGAACCGGUUUUGUCUAAUUAUCAUAUGAAAAAAACAACAUUUUUUGCAUAAAGUAUUUUUUGUCUUAAGUAUUUUAAAAUUUGAAAAGAUAACCAAGUUUCUAAUGAUCAUCACACUUUUGUGGAAGAGAAACAUUCUUGUUGAAGUGUUAUGCAAUUUUCAUCUACUGUCUACAUCAAUGACAUUGUCUGAUUCACCAAUGUUCCCUCUGAUAGAGAGCCAGACAAAGGAGUUGAAGAGUUUUUAUUUUCUUUGUUUAAGAUCAAGAGACUAGUAUUAUUUACGUUUCCAUCCGAUAACUGAACUAAUCCGUCUAGGAUUUGGUUUAGUUGUUUUGGAUUUUUGGUACUAUGCUCGUAAAUCUCAUUCGAGUUUUACUAAUUUUUAGGCCGGAUUAGUUAGUAGGCCGGAUUUGCAUAUGUUCAUUCUGGAUUCGGUUCGGAUCAUAUUAUAACCAAUGUUUGAAAUCACCCAAAAUAUAUUUUAAAAAUUUAACAAAAAAAAUACUCAAAAUAUAUAAAUUAUUUAAACUUCUAAUUAAAACAUUGUUAAGCUACCUAAACUAAUUAAAACAGUAUUCAAAACAACAAAUAAAAUAAACUACAAAAAUAUUUAAAAUAUCUAAAUUACCUUUAUAUAUAUAUAUAUUAACAUAUUUAACUAAUAUUGGAGAUCCUAGUUCGGAUUUCGAUCCGGUUCGGGUUGUAUUCAAACACGAAAGUAAUACGCUCGAGAGUUAUACGGAGACUAAUCCCACAAGAGAGAGACACAAUCCCAUCCAAUGGAACCAAAUAAGCAAAACAUCUAAUUCUAACAACGAACUACAAACAAAAGUACAACCCGCAGAAACUAAAACGCUCCACCUAAAAAGAACUGAAGCACACUAACCAAAGAGCUUAACCAAAGCCCACAGCUGCUGAGAUGGUGUAUAACUGAACAAGAAACGAGACGAAAGAAACCAGCAGCACCAGCAAACUAGAGCACAAAGGGUAACAAGACCGCAAAGCUAUAUGGAGGAGCGCUGCACUCUGACUAGAGCACAAGCCAAGGAGAGACGUCAUUCAGGAACGUGGACACAUUGAUCCAGGAAUAAAGAUAUUAUAAUGUAGUCGAAUUGACUCGCUGCAGUGGUACUCAUUAUCCUGGGGUGUUAUUAGAUUAUAAUUUGUAAUAAAUCUAGUGUUAUUCAAUUAAUGGUCUAAUUGGUGAUCAUUAUAGAAAUAUUAGGAAUGAAUAAGAAAAAAAUACAGAGAAAUAAAAUUAUAGAAAUGAAAAUAAAGAUUAUUCUUUAUCAAUUUUCAUGAGUAACAAAUUUGUUUUGUAUUCCUUUAGAAUAAAAGGAAUGAAAAAAAAUUUGGAAUAGUAAAAAAUGCACUAUUCUCUUUUAUUUCUUGGUCAGCAGGUAGACUCUAUUUUUCAAAAGUAUGUUUUUUUGACAACAACUUUUCAAAAGUAUGUUAAAGUCUUGUGUUAUUCAUUUAUUUGUUUAUAAUAGUAUACUAGAUUAUGACCCGUCUUUUGAAAUGGCGGGUAUAUUUUUUGGUUUACAAGUGUUUUUAAUAAUAACUAGAAUUGUAUGUAUGAUUUUAUGUGUUAUAUUUAUACAUAGUUUAUGUUUGUAUUUAUCUAAAUUAUCUAUUCAAAUUAUUUUUCGAUAUAAACCGUAAAAACUAUAAUUGUAAUUCAAAAUACAUUUACUGCUACAAAUACUUUGUAGGUUUUAGAGAAUAACCCGUAAAAGCUGCAAUGAUAAUUUAAGAUGCUUAAAAUACUGGAGAUAUUCAAAAGAUAUAUAUAUUUUUUCACUCAAAUAUGUUAAAUUUUUAUGUAUUUGGUCAUGUAUUAUAAAUUUUUUGUCAUUUGUUAUUUUUAUUAUUGAAUUUGGUAAACUUUAAGAUAUAUUUUAGUUUUAAAAUUUGGAGAAAUUUAACAUUGGAAAUUAACUAAGAAGAAGAAGUGAUAUAGAAGUUACAUAUUCAUAAAUCAGACAUUUGACAAUCCGAUAGAGAAUUCUCAGAAACAAAAAUUCAAAAAGCAAAAAGGACAGAUAAUUGGAAACGAAAUGAGUGAAGAUUAUUAUAUGAAUGUUUUAGACAACGAAAUUAAGCACCGGUGAAGCUUGGUGGCUUGUAGGCGAUGAAACUGAUGCACUGGACUUGACGGUUGUUGUCGAAUCCGAUGAUUCUAAUGAAAGCGUUAGGGUAUUCCGUCUUGCACUCUUGCACUUCCUUCAACACUUGAGCAGAGUCAGUGCAUCCGAACAAAGGAAGUUUCCACAUUGUCCAGUAACGUCCGUCGUAGUAUCCGGG